RNAcentral lists this ribosomal RNA (492 nucleotides) under uncultured bacterium. RNAcentral describes it as "partial 16S ribosomal RNA". It matches the Rfam family "Bacterial small subunit ribosomal RNA", at positions 29 to 507 of the family's 1533-position model. The record is from RNAcentral.
AGUGAACGCUGGCGGUAGGCCUAACACAUGCAAGUCGAACGGCAGCACAGUAAGAGCUUGCUCUUACGGGUGGCGAGUGGCGGACGGGUGAGGAAUACAUCGGAAUCUACUUUUUCGUGGGGGAUAACGUGGGGAAACUUACGCUAAUACCGCAUACGACCAACGGGUGAAAGCAGGGGUUCUUCGGACCUUGCCCGUUUGAUUUAGCCGAUGUCGGAUUAGCUAGUUGGCGGGGUAAAGUACCACCAAGGCAACGAUGCGUAGCUGGUCUGAGAGGAUGAUCAGCCACACUGGAACUGAGACACGGUCCAGACUCCUACGGGAGGCAGCAGUGGGGAAUAUUGGACAAUGGGCGCAAGCCUGAUCCAGCCAUACCGCGUGGGUGAAGAAGGCCUUCGGGUUGUAAAGCCCUUUUGUUGGGAAAGAAAAGCAGCAGGUUAAUACCCCGCUGUUCUGACGGUACCCAAAGAAUAAGCACCGGCUAACUUCGUG